AAAACGACUCUCGGCAACGGAUAUCUCGGCUCUCGCAUCGAUGAAGAACGUAGCGAAAUGCGAUACUUGGUGUGAAUUGCAGAAUCCCGUGAACCAUCGAGUCUUUGAACGCAAGUUGCGCCCAAAGCCUUUUGGCCGAGGGCACGUCUGCCUGGGUGUCACAC
RNAcentral lists this ribosomal RNA (164 nucleotides) under Flueggea virosa. RNAcentral describes it as "5.8S ribosomal RNA". It matches the Rfam family "5.8S ribosomal RNA". Rfam says of the family: 5.8S ribosomal RNA (5.8S rRNA) is a component of the large subunit of the eukaryotic ribosome. It is transcribed by RNA polymerase I as part of the 45S precursor that also contains 18S and 28S rRNA. The record is from RNAcentral. Lineage: Eukaryota; Viridiplantae; Streptophyta; Magnoliopsida; Malpighiales; Phyllanthaceae.